AUUCCAAUGAAGAACACAUCUAGAACUGCAAAUAUGAAGUACAUUAUAAAGAUAGACAAUACAAUAUGUCAGGAAAAACAGCAAAAUGAAAAACAACCGCGACGAAGACUUUGGCUUUUAUUGGUUGUAGUGUUGUUUCUUAUCGCGUCCAUUGGCGUUUCCGCUGGGUUAUCUUUCGUGUUGAUCAAAGAUAAUAAACAAACCAUUCAACAAGGAACCUUAGAAACAACAACGCAAUUUUCUACCACCACAACAAUAC
Long non-coding RNA from Saccostrea cuccullata (small rock oyster), 259 nucleotides. RefSeq lists it as uncharacterized. NCBI's taxonomy places the organism in Eukaryota, Metazoa, Mollusca, Bivalvia, Ostreida, Ostreidae. The record is from RefSeq and is a predicted model, not a curated record. The transcript is spliced from 3 exons.